GCCUUGAUUUAUUGACGAAUGUAUUUUCUAUUUGCCAAUUAUGCUAAAAUAGAUUUUUUUUACAUAUUUUGAAUUAUUGUACUAAAGUGCAGUUUUGAUGAGCAUCCAUCGUCACUAUCGAUAUGUCUUGUUUUUCAUAAAUACAUGUACAUUUUUCUAAGAUGAUUUUUUAAAUGAUCUCUGCUUUCAUUUAAUAUUAUAAUUGCAGACCUCGUGUAGCCGACAAAAGAGGGGGAUUCAAAAGAGAGCGUCUGGGCGACAACGAUCAAUGAUUCCCGCGACAAUAAGCAAUGUGCUGUACGUAGCUGAUGCACAUUCUAGCGGGACCUUGCAAUGUAUCCUUGACUUCCCCAUGACAGUCAUCCUUUACUGUGAUAAUUGCCAUAACAAGGGCUGCACGAGGAUAAUGUAUAGGUUAUAUACAGCGGCUAUAAAACGAAGGAAAUACAUAUACAAUGAACAAAGUCAAAUAUUAACUGUGUAAUUAAUAUGUAAACGUAGUUAUAUACUAGUAUAUAUUUAUGAUAUAUACAAACAUAUACAACGGUAAACUAUGUAAAAUUGUUUUUUAUCUAAAGUACAUAAACAUACAAUACAUAUUUUCAGUAUUAUCUUUCAUAUAUGUGCAUUGCUUGUCGUUAUUACUAAAGAUAACCAGUAUACGUGUGUAUACACGUAUUUGCUUUUGUAAAAUUUAAAACAUAAAUUUCUACCUUUGUAGCUCAUGGGCGAUAACCUUAGAAAUUCUUAGUAGUAUUUUUUAUAAAUGUUUAUGUAUUUAUUUGUUUGUUUAUUUAUUUUGUUUUGCUAAUUUGCACAAUGUGCACUUUAACUGAGAAAUUGUUGCUGCAAGUUAGUGUUUCUUUAGAAAAACAAUAAAUAUUGAGAGAAGGCA
This is a long non-coding RNA of Ruditapes philippinarum (Manila clam), 895 nucleotides long. RefSeq lists it as uncharacterized. The record is from RefSeq and is a predicted model, not a curated record. The transcript is spliced from 2 exons. NCBI's taxonomy places the organism in Eukaryota, Metazoa, Mollusca, Bivalvia, Venerida, Veneridae.